UUUAAACUGCAACUGCCGUCAUUUUUUGUUUAAGCUGAUUGAUGUGCCUGUGAAUGUUUAAACUGUCCUUGCACUCAUUUCGUUUCAAACAUUGCUUGUUGAAUUCAUUGAUAUACUCACUGUUAUGAAUAUGAUUGCUGAUCUUGUGAUCUGAUUAAAUUGUUGAAUUCUGCAUUGCAUCCUGAUUAGAAGCAUUAUUUUCUCUGCUGAAUAACUGGUUCAUAAUUGUUGGAGUACUUAAGCUUGUGCAUCAACAUUGUUUUCACUGACAAUUUCUGCAUCACAUCACUCUUGUUCAGUUUGGUUGAUCUGAGUCUGAAUGUGUUUGCCUCUUUUAAUCACAAAUUGAUAUUGCUAAUACUGUAUGUGCUGUUGGCUUUGGUAUGAAUAAUUUGUGAAAGUUGAAUUAAUGGAAUCAUUUGUACAUUGCUUGUAUUGAUCUGGUUUUGAUUAGCUUGAUAUAUCAGUUUGAUCUCAGAAUUGAAUGUCAUUUGUUUGACUCUGGUUUACUGUCCAUUUCCAUUUGCAUUUGCUGGACUUUGGUUUGAUUUUGUGUGCAGCUAUUGCAGAUUAUAGAAUUGCAGCUCGAAUUAGUUUAGUUUAAGCAGGAGUGUAACUUGAGUAUGCAGUAGCAGAAUCACUUCCCUUGAGAGAAUUGAACUGAAGGGAGUUUCUAUUAUUUUAAAAUUGCUUCUGUUUUGCUACACUUGAAUCUCUAUGGCUUACAAUUAGUGAAUUGAUUGGAUUGCUAAUUUCUGGAAUUAAAUGUUGCUUGUGCAGAUUUGAUUUGCUUGGUCUUGAGCAAGCCAGAAGCAGACAUUUGAAUAGGUUUAGUCGUAAAGAACAACUAGGAUCUUUGAGCUGAACCGAUUGUACAAGACCGAGAAAGGGAAGUCUAUUACCAUAUAUCUUUAUCUGCCAUUUGUUUUAAUUAAGUGAAUUCUCACAACAAUUGUGUGCAGGUGUGAUUGUAGGAUAUCCAACAACAACAAAUUGAAGCUGCAAGAUGGAGCAUGAGAUUUUGGAAGCAUUGGACAAGGUCUGGGCACAAAAGAGUUGGACCGUAGCAUCAGUGGACUGUACAGCAGAGUACCACCAGCAGGUUAUAGCUUCAUUGGGCCGUAGCUUAGGAUUGAAUGUUUUGUAAUUUUUUAUUUUUUUGUGUAUUUGAUGGGCUUGUGUCAGCCCAAUGUCUUUGUUAGUUUUAUUUUCUGGUUUGUAAAGGGCCUUUUAUAAAGUCCAAGAUUGGAAGAGUCCUUGGUGCUCUUUCCAUUCUUGGCAACCUUUCUUGAUU
This 1294-nucleotide long non-coding RNA is filed under the name Vigna radiata. Its description in RNAcentral is "long non-coding RNA (VRAD_LNC014473)". Lineage: Eukaryota; Viridiplantae; Streptophyta; Magnoliopsida; Fabales; Fabaceae. The record is from RNAcentral.